AGUGAACGCUGGCGGUAGGCCUAACACAUGCAAGUCGAACGGCAGCACAGUAAGAGCUUGCUCUUACGGGUGGCGAGUGGCGGACGGGUGAGGAAUACAUCGGAAUCUACUUUUUCGUGGGGGAUAACGUAGGGAAACUUACGCUAAUACCGCAUACGACCUACGGGUGAAAGCAGGGGAUCUUCGGACCUUGCGCGAUUGAAUGAGCCGAUGUCGGAUUAGCUAGUUGGCGGGGUAAAGGCCCACCAAGGCGACGAUCCGUAGCUGGUCUGAGAGGAUGUGCCGCCCCCCUGGACCUGGGCCCCGGUCCAACCCCCUCCGGGAGGCAGGAGGGGGGAAAUUUGGCCAAUGGGCGCAACCCUGCCCCAGCCCUCCCGCGUGGGUGAAGGAGGCCUUCGGUUUUUAAAGCCCUUUUUUUGGGAAAAAAAAGCAGCGGGUUAAUCCCCCGCUUUUCUGACGGUCCCCAAAAAAUAAGCCCCGGCUAACUUCGU
This 491-nucleotide ribosomal RNA is filed under the name uncultured bacterium. Its description in RNAcentral is "partial 16S ribosomal RNA". It matches the Rfam family "Bacterial small subunit ribosomal RNA", at positions 29 to 506 of the family's 1533-position model. The record is from RNAcentral.